GACAGCAGCAGCCACGGUAAUACGAAGGGGGCUAGCGUUGUUCGGAUUUACUGGGCGUAAAGGGCGCGUAGGCGGACUGAUAAGUCAGGGGUGAAAUCCCAAGGCUCAACCUUGGAACUGCCUUUGAUACUGUUUGUCUUGAGUUCGAGAGAGGUAAGUGGAACUGCGAGUGUAGAGGUGAAAUUCGUAGAUAUUCGCAAGAACACCAGUGGCGAAGGCGGCUUACUGGCUCGAAACUGACGCUGAGGCGCGAAAGCGUGGGGAGCAAACAGGAUUAGAUACCCCCGUAGUCCCUGUCUCUUAUAC
RNAcentral lists this ribosomal RNA (306 nucleotides) under uncultured bacterium. RNAcentral describes it as "partial 16S ribosomal RNA". It matches the Rfam family "Bacterial small subunit ribosomal RNA", at positions 507 to 807 of the family's 1533-position model. The record is from RNAcentral.